CCUACGGUGGACAGCAGUGGGGAAUAUUUCACAAUGGGCGAAAGCCUGAUGCAGCAACGCCGCGUGAAGGAAGACGGUUUUCGGAUUGUAAACUUCUGUUCUUAGUGCAGAAUAAUGACGGUAACUCAGGAGCAAGCCACGGCUAACUACGUGCCAGCAGCCGCGGUAAUACGUAGGUGGCAAGCGUUGUCCGGAAUUACUGGGUGUAAAGGGAGCGUAGGCGGGAAGCCAAGUCAGCUGUGAAAACUACGGGCUUAACCUGUAGACUGCAGUUGAAACUGGCUUUCUUGAGUGAAGUAGAGGUUGGCGGAAUUCCGAGUGUAGCGGUGAAAUGCGUAGAUAUUCGGAGGAACACCGGUGGCGAAGGCGGUCAACUGGGCUUUAACUGACGCUGAGGCUCGAAAGUGUGGGGAGCAAACAGGAUUAGAUACCCUAGUAGUC
Molecule: ribosomal RNA, 441 nt
Filed under: uncultured bacterium
Lineage: Bacteria
Description: partial 16S ribosomal RNA
Rfam family: Bacterial small subunit ribosomal RNA
Source: RNAcentral